GGAGAUCCAACAGCUCCUGUCCAGUCCAGGCUGGAGUGCGUCUGGAACACGUAGCCUGCAUGGUCAGCUGGGCAGCUGCACACAGUAAUGGAAAGCUGAAAAAACAGAAUAUUGUGCCUCAAGCCAACAUGUGCGUCCAGCAGCACAAGAAAUAAAAU
Mauremys mutica (yellowpond turtle) is the source of this 158-nucleotide long non-coding RNA. RefSeq lists it as uncharacterized. NCBI's taxonomy places the organism in Eukaryota, Metazoa, Chordata, Testudines, Geoemydidae. The transcript is spliced from 3 exons. The record is from RefSeq and is a predicted model, not a curated record.